Molecule: transfer RNA, 78 nt
Filed under: Cotesia glomerata
Lineage: Eukaryota; Metazoa; Arthropoda; Insecta; Hymenoptera; Braconidae
Description: tRNA-Lys
Rfam family: tRNA (bases 7-66)
About the family: Transfer RNA (tRNA) molecules are approximately 80 nucleotides in length. Their secondary structure includes four short double-helical elements and three loops (D, anti-codon, and T loops).
Source: RNAcentral
GGGAUAAUAGCUUAAUUGGAAGAGUUUUUGGCUCUUAACCAAAAAGUUCCGGGUUCGAUUCCUGGUCUAGGCUUCCCG